GGUUCGAUUAUGGCUCAGAUUGAACGCUGGCGGGAUGCUGCAUAAUAAAGUCGAACGGCAGCACGGACUUCGGUCUGGUGGCGAGUGGCGAACGGGUGAGUAAUGUAUCGGAACGUGCCUAGUAGCGGGGAUAACUACGAAAGGUAGCUAAUACCGCAUAAUGGCCCUUCGGGGGAAAGCGGGGACCUUCGGGCCCCUGCACUAUUAGAGCGGCCGAUAUCGGAUUAGCUAGUUGGUGGGGUAACGGCUCACCAAGGCGACGAUCCGUAGCUGGUUUGAGAGGACGACCAGCCACACUGGGACUGAGACACGGCCUAUGACUCCUACGGGAGGCAGCAGUGGGGAAUUUUGGACAGCUGGGAAACCCGAUCCAGCCAUCCCGCGUGUGCGAUGUGAAGGCCUCGGGUUGUGAAAGCACUUUUGGUGCAGUGGAAAGAAAACGGCACAGGAUAAUACCCUGCAACUGACGGUACCUGCAUUAAGCACCGGCUGUCUACGCCAGCAGCCGCGGUGAAUACGUAGGUGCAAGCGUUAACUGACACCACAUUUUCGGGGCGUAAAGCGCGCAGGCGUUCGAAAAGAAAGAUGUGAAAUCCCAGAGCUUAACUUUGGAACUGCAUUUAACUACCGAGCUGAGUGGAAUGAGAGGAAGUGGAAUUCCGCGUGUAGCAGAAUGCGUAGAUAUGCGGAGGAACACCCGAUGGCGAAGGCAGCCCCUGGGAUAACACUGACGCUCAUGCACGAAAGCGUGGGGAGCAAACAGGAUUAGAUACCCUGGUUGUCCACGCUCUAAACGAUGUCAACUAGCUGUUGGGGCCUUCGGGCCUUGGUAGCGCAGCUAGUCAGCGUGAAGUUAUCUGCCUGGGAGAGUACGGUCGCAAGAUUAAAACUCAAAGGAAUUGACGGGAUCUCGCACAAGCGUAGAUGAUGUGGAUUAAUUGAUGCAACGCGAAAAAACCUUACCUACCCUUGACAUGUCUGGAAUCCCGGAAGAGAUUUGGGGAGGCGCUCGCAAGAGAACCGGAACACAGGUGCUGCAUGGCUGUCGUCAGCACGUCGUGAGAUGUUGGGUUAAGUCCCGCAAUCGAAGGCAACCCUUGUCAUUAGUUGCUACGAAAGGGCACCCUAAUGAGACCGUUGUGUGACAAACCGGAGGAAGGUGGGGAUGACGUCAAGUCCUCAUGGCCCUUAUGGGUAGGGCUUCACAUUGUUGUCAUACAAUGGUCGGGCAGAGGGUCGCCAACCCGCGAGGGGGAGCCAAUCCCAGAAACCCGAUCGUAGUCCGGAUCGCAGUCUGCAACUCGACUGCGUGAAGUCGGAAUCGCUAGUAAUCGCGGAUCAGCAUGUCGCGGUGAAUACGUUCCCGGGUCUUGUACACACCGCCCGUCACACCAUGGAGUGGGUUUUACCAGAAGUAGUUAGCCUAACCGUAAGGAGAGGGCGAUUACCACGGUAGGAUUCAAUAUUCAAAGAAGUCGUAACAAGGUAG
Molecule: ribosomal RNA, 1489 nt
Filed under: uncultured Bordetella sp.
Lineage: Bacteria; Pseudomonadati; Pseudomonadota; Betaproteobacteria; Burkholderiales; Alcaligenaceae
Description: partial 16S-23S ribosomal RNA intergenic spacer
Rfam family: Bacterial small subunit ribosomal RNA
Source: RNAcentral